RNAcentral lists this ribosomal RNA (556 nucleotides) under Fusarium oxysporum. Its description in RNAcentral is "eukaryotic LSU rRNA". The stretch from base 219 to 372 matches the Rfam family "5.8S ribosomal RNA". Lineage: Eukaryota; Fungi; Ascomycota; Sordariomycetes; Hypocreales; Nectriaceae. The record is from RNAcentral.
UCUUGGUCCAAUUAGAGGAAGUAAAAGUCGUAACAAGGUCUCCGUUGGUGAACCAGCGGAGGGAUCAUUACCGAGUUUACAACUCCCAAACCCCUGUGAACAUACCACUUGUUGCCUCGGCGGAUCAGCCCGCUCCCGGUAAAACGGGACGGCCCGCCAGAGGACCACUAAACUCUGUUUCUAUAUGUAACUUCUGAGUAAAACCAUAAAUAAAUCAAAACUUUCAACAACGGAUCUCUUGGUUCUGGCAUCGAUGAAGAACGCAGCAAAAUGCGAUAAGUAAUGUGAAUUGCAGAAUUCAGUGAAUCAUCGAAUCUUUGAACGCACAUUGCGCCCGCCAGUAUUCUGGCGGGCAUGCCUGUUCGAGCGUCAUUUCAACCCUCAAGCACAGCUUGGUGUUGGGACUCGCGUUAAUUCGCGUUCCCCAAAUUGAUUGGCGGUCACGUCGAGCUUCCAUAGCGUAGUAGUAAAACCCUCGUUACUGGUAAUCGUCGCGGCCACGCCGUUAAACCCCAACUUCUGAAUGUGACCUCGGAUCAGGUAGAAACCCCAAUUG